AGAACGAACGCUGGCGGCAGGCUUAACACAUGCAAGUCUAACGGGUGCAGCAAUGCAUCAGUGGCAGACGGGUGAGUAACGCGUGGGAAUCUACCCAUCUCUACGGAACAACUCCGGGAAACUGGAGCUAAUACCGUAUACGUCCUUCGGGAGAAAGAUUUAUCGGAGAUGGAUGAGCCCGCGUUGGAUUAGCUAGUUGGUGGGGUAAUGGCCUACCAAGGCGACGAUCCAUAGCUGGUCUGAGAGGAUGAUCAGCCACAUUGGGACUGAGACACGGCCCAAACUCCUACGGGAGGCAGCAGUGGGGAAUAGUUAGGACAAUGGGCGAAAGCCUGAUCCAGCCAUGCCGCGUGAGUGAUGAAGGCCCUAGGGUUGUAAAGCUCUUUCACCGGUGAAGAUAAUGACGUAACCGGAGAAGAACGACCCGGCUAACGUUCGUGCCAGCACGCGCGU
This 453-nucleotide ribosomal RNA is filed under the name uncultured soil bacterium. RNAcentral's name for it is "bacterial SSU rRNA". It matches the Rfam family "Bacterial small subunit ribosomal RNA", at positions 26 to 520 of the family's 1533-position model. The record is from RNAcentral.